ACUCCUGCCGAUGGAUAUCUUGGCUCUCGCAACGAUGAAGAACGCAGCGAAAUGCGAUACGUAGUGCGAAUUGCAGAAUUCAGUGAAUCAUCGAACCUUUGAACGCAAAUGGCGCAUCCGGGCUCCGCUCGGACGCAUGUCUCUUCGAGGGGCGCCUCCAUCCUCCUCGGAGCGAGAGAGCUCUCUCUCUCGUCUCCGGAGCCGGCGGCCGCGCGGGGGAGCCUCGGCUCCCUCGCGCGCCCGCCCAAGGCUGCCUUGCGAGCGCGGCGGCGGCGUCUAACCCGCGUCCCCGCCGGAGUGCUAAGUCCACGACUAGACCUCCGGCGGACGCGUGCCCCGUUCUGCCUCGCGACCCCCCGGCGUGCGCGGUGCCUCUCCUCUCCUCCGGGAGAGAGCGAGGUCCGCCCGCCCCGGCGCGCGGCCGCUCUCUGUGCGGCCGCGCGCCUCGAAACCCGCCAUCGAAUGAGGCAAGACUACCCGCUGAACUUAAGCAUAUCACUAAGCGGAGGAGAAGAAACUAACCAGGAUGCCCCUAGUAAUGGCGAAUGAAGCGGGCUGAGCUCACGCUGCCAAUCUGGAGGCCUCGCGUAUGCAGCGCCCCCCGAAUUGUGGUCUAGAGAGGCGUUAUCGGCCGCGCCCGCCGCUCAAGUCCCUUGGAACAGGGUGUCGGAGAGGGUGAGAAUCCCGUACCGUGGCGGGUUGCGGCCUUACGAUGCGUCCUCGUCGAGUCGGGUUGCUUGGGAUUGCAGCUUGAAUUGGGUGGUAAAUUCCAUCUAAAGCUAAAUACUGGCGAGAGACCGAUAGCGAACAAGUACCGUGAGGGAAAGAUGCAAAGAACUUUGAAAAGAGAGUCAAAGAGUGCUUGAAAUCGGUAGGAGGAAACCCGGAUGGGCCCGGCUUCGGCGUGCCGACUCAGCCUGGGGUUCUCCCCAGGUGCACUUCUGCGCGCCGGGUCAGCCGCGCCUCGGCGCCGCGCCUCAACCCGGGAGCGGGGCUUUACGGCCAGCUCCCGUCCUGGCGCGGCCCGGGGCCCGGCUGACGGAACGGGCCCCUCCGACCCGUCUAGAAACACGGACCAAGGAGUCUGACACGUGUGCGAGUACCCGGGUGGCAAGCCCGCGUGCGGAAUGAAAGUGAAGGGCAUGCCCUGCCAACCGACCUUGACCUGCUGUGAGGGGUUUGAGUGGAGCACACCUGUCGGGACCCGAAAGAUGGUGAACUAUGCCUGGGUAGGGUGAAGCCAGAGGAAACUCUGGUGGAGGCUCGUAGCGAUACUGACGUGCAAAUCGUUCGUCGAAUCUGGGCAUAGGGGCGAAAGACUAAUCGAACCAUCUAGUAGCUGGUUCCCUCCGAAGUUUCCCUCAGGAUAGCUUGAACGCAACGGUUUUGUCAGGUAAAGCGAAUGAUUAGAGGCCUGUGGGCUGAAACAGCUUGCACCUAUUCUCAAACUUUAAAUGGGCAAGAGGCCCGGGAUGCUUGAGUGAUCCCGGGCGGCGAACGGCGCGUUCAAAGUGGGCCAUUUUUGGUAAGCAGAACUGGCGAUGCGGGAUGAACCGAACGCCGCGCUAAGGUACCCAAGUGUCCGCUCAUCAGAUACCACAAAAGGCGUUGGUACCUCCAGACAGCAGGACGGUGGCCAUGGAAGUCGGAACCCGCUAAGGAGUGUGUAACAACUCACCUGCCGAAGGUACUAGCCCUGAAAAUGGAUGGCGCUCAAGCGGACCACCGAUGCGCGGCCGCCGGCGCGAGCGCGAGGCGCCGGCGAGUAGGAGGGCGCGGGGCUCGCGGCGCAGCCUUGGGCGCGAGCCUGGGUGAAGCGGGCCCCGGUGCAGAUCUUGGUGGUAGUAGCAAAUAUUCAAAUGAGAACUUUGAAGACUGAAGUGGAGAAAGGUUCCGUGUGAACAGCAGUUGGACACGGGUGAGCCGACCCUAAGAGACAGGAAAACUCCGCCGAACGCGGCUGGUUCUGUCAGCCCGUCCGUCGAAAGGGAAUCGGGUUAAUAUUCCCGAGCCAGCGCGUGGAUGGUGGGCGGCGACGCGAACGAACCCGGAGACGCCGGCGGGAGCCCUGGGAAGAGUUCUCUUUUCUUCUUAACUGCCUCCUGCCCUGGAAUCGGUUUAGCCGGAGCGAGGGCUACACGGCAGGCAAAGCACCCUAAGUCUUGGGGUGUCCGGCGCGCUCCCGACGGCCCGUGAAAAUCCGGGGGAGCGGUUCGUUCUCACGCCUGGUCGUACUCAUAACCGCAUCAGGUCUCCAAGGUGAACAGCCUCUAGUCGAUAGAGCAAUGUAGGUAAGGGAAGUCGGCAAAAUGGUUCCGCAACCUCGGGAGAAGGAAUGGCUCUGAAGGCUGGGCGCAGGGGUCCUAGGCUCGAGGCCGGCUGGCUGCGCGGGGACUACGGCCUCACGGCUGCGGAUCCCGCGCGGCCGUCCGGCGGACGGCCUAGGAGCGCUCCGGCUCUCCCUGCGCGACGAACAGCCGCUUCAGAACUGGCGCGGACAAGGGGAAUCCGACUGUUUAAUUAAAACAAAGCAUUGCGAUGGCCCGCGAGGGUGCUGACGCAAUGUGAUUUCUGCCCAGUGCUCUGAAUGUCAAAGUGAAGAAAUUCAACCAAGCGCGGGUAAACGGCGGGAGUAACUAUGACUCUCUUAAGGUAGCCAAAUGCCUCGUCAUCCAAUUAGUGACGCGCAUGAAUGGAUUCGUGAGAUUCCCACUGUCCCUAUCUACUGUCUAGCGAAACCACAGCCAAGGGAACGGGCUUGGAAGAAUCAGCGGGGAAAGAAGACCCUGUUGAGCUUGACUCUAGUCUGUUACUGUGGAACGACUUGAUGGGUGUAGAAUAUGCGGGAGGGGCAACCCGACAGUGAAAUACCGCAACCGUCAACGUUGUUUUACUUACUCGGUGGCGCGGAGGGAGGCUCGCCUCACUUCUGGAUCCAAGCCGCUUCGUGCGCGCGAUCCGCGUCGGGGACACUAACAGGUGGGGAGUUUGGCUGGGGCGGCACGUCUGUUAAAAAAUAACGCAGGCGCCCGAUUUUGAGCUCAAUGAGAACAGAAAUCUCAUGUGGACCGAAAGGGGAAAAGCUCGGUUGAUUUUGAUUUUCAGUACGAAUACAAACCGCGAAAGCGUGGCCUAUCGAUCCUCUCGUCUUUGGGAAUUUCAAGCUAGAGGUGUCAGAAAAGUUACCACAGGGAUAACUGGCUUGUGGCUGCCAAGCGUUCAUAGCGACGUAGCUUUUUGAUCCUUCGAUGUCGGCUCUUCCUAUCACUGCCUCGCAGCGGGGGCCAAAUGCAGGAUUGUUCACCCACCAACAGGGAACGUGAGCUGGGUUUAGACCGUCGUGAGACAGGUUAGUUUUACCCUACUGCUGUCUGUUUUUCUACGGUAAUUUGGUUCAGUACGAGAGGAACCACCAAUUCGCAUCAUCGGUAUAGCCGCCGCCGGAAACGGCGAUGCGGCGAAGCUGCCAUGCGCCGGAUUAUAACUGAACGCCUCUAAGUUAGAAUCCAUGCCGGAAGGAAAGCCACCUACCGGCCCGGGGACGCCACGAGCAACGGUAGCACUGCCUGAGCCGCGAGCGACCACAAUUCACGGACCCGGGCCGACGAAUCCCUUGCAGACGACUUGAAUAAGGAACGGGGUAUUGUACGCGGCAGAGUGGCCUUGUUGCCACGAUCCGCUGAGAUUCAGCCUUGGUUCUGACGAUUUGUUGCGCGCGCGCAACAACCCUCUCAGGGCCUCUCCCGUUCCUCAGUCGCUCUCUCGGCGCUCUCCCCCUCUCGCCUCUCCGAGCCUCACUCGCUCGGGGGCGGAGCCGAGGGGGCGAGAGCGCGAUUUCUGCCCAAGGCAGCGCGCAGGCCACUGCGCAGAUACACCCGGCUCUCCCCGAGCCGCCACUGGGCGCUCCCGCGGUCCCCUCCGGGCUGAAUGCAGCCUCCGGAGCGGGCGGCGCGAGCGUCUAAGUCUACUCAGAGCCUUCCACGCUCUUCUUUGCGUUCCGAAGCACACACCGCGCUCCUCUGUAGUGCAUCGCCCGGCCAACUCGCUUGCCACUGUCAUUGCCCCCGCCGCCCUCUCACUGUGGCCGCCCUGUACCGUUACCUCCACCGCCCUCGCCCUCGCCACCGCCCCCACGCCGCCGCUACCAUUCCGGCCAUCGCCGCCCCCACCCUCAUCCCCACCUUGCCCCCGCCGCCCGUUGCAGCUGCAAUCCCCACCGAAGGCGGACGCCGGUGCCGCCCUCGAGCUCGACGCCCCUUCGUGCUUCGCCGCCCGGCGCGGUCCCAUCCGGGCUGAAUGCGGCCUCCAAUCUCGUGUCGGCCUGCCGCCGCCCUCGCCUUCAGCCGUCCCGCCACCCUCACCGCCACAGCCCUCCUCACCACCGUCUCCACCGCCGCUGCUCUCACCACCCUCGCCACCACCACCACGCCCGCCUCCCUCGCUGCCACCCACGCCGCCGCCACCGCCCCCACCCGCUCCGCUGCCCUCGCCCUUGCCGUCACCGCGCCGCGAGAUCUCUUACACUAUCCCCCGCCCUUGCCCCAGCCCUUGCCUGCCGCCGCCCUCGCCGCCGCCCUCGCCGCCGCCCUCGCCGCCCCCCUCGCCGCCGGGGCCCGCCCUCGCAGCCACGGCACCCUUGCCCCCUCCACCCUCCUCUCCGCCCCCGCCCCUGCCCCCGCUCGCCGUCGCCCUCCGCCGCCCCCCUCCCGCCCCGCCACCACCCUCCCCUCGGCCGCCCUCCGGCAUGCCGCCGUUCUCGCCCUCGCCUCCGAGCCGCCCCGCUGCCCUCGCCACUGCCCCCGUCGCCGCCACCCCCGUCGCUGCCGCCCUCGCCGCCGACCUACCCCCCUUGCCGUCUCCACCACCGUCAUCCCCACCAUCGGUUCUAACUUCUACUCAACUGCGACUACUUUAUACUCUAUGCGCCGAGAGAGGUACGAAUAUCUCUCGAAAAACGAUAUCUAUACCACACGAAAAAGGCUAGAGAAGUGGAGUGCUACACGAUGUUAAGGCGUACGGGGUGAGGCCCUGAGCGCGCGGCACCCCCGCCCCCCACGCCCCAGGACAAUGUAUAUGUUGCCAAAGAUAGACGAGCCCCAAAAGCACUCGAGAGACUUCACUUACCGUGUGUGCGCUCGCGACCACUACUGACGCAGAGCGACACCCAAUCACACAAUGCACAACCCAGGGCCCGAAAUGCGACAAAACCACGCAAAAAACGCGCACCAAAUGAACGUACUUGCGCACGUGGCGCGUGAUCGCAGCCGACCGACGCGGGGCCUGUGCGCCCGCAGCGCUAACGCCGCAAUCAUGACUCAACACGAGCUCCCCGUUAGUCCAACAUUUGCGGCGAGGCUGGCGGCGACGCGCGGCAGCGGGGGCAGCUGCACAUGCCGGGAGGCCCGUCGUGCAGCUCCACGGGGUCGUCCUCCACCUCGUCGUCGGUGUCGCUGUCCUCCUGGCCGCCCCCCAACGCCGGCAUGGGCGCAAACAGGCCUCCGUCGCCCGGGCCCUCCUCCUCGCUCUCGCUGUCGAGCGCGAUCGCCGUCGCGCCGCUCGAGCCAACCGCCUGUCGCCGCAGCGCCUUCGUCCGGCUCUCAGCGGCGGAGAGCGGCGCCUGCCCAAAGCGAGCCAGGGCCGCCGCCCGCGCCGCCUCCGCAGGCGUCGCAUGCGCCGCCUGCAUGCCCGUCACGGACGCGUCACGGACGAUACGCGGACACUGUCGCGGACGUUGGGGGCGGGUGCCUGCUCCGCGGCCAGCCGCUUCCCCUCCGUCGUGCGGCGGUCGAUCAUCUUUUGCUUCUUGCCCAGCGGCCGCCGCCGCUGCGGCGGCUGCUGCGCGUGCCGAGCCGAGGACGAGGAGCCGCCGCCGCCGCGCCGCUUGCGCCCGGCGCCGCGCCGACCGCUGGAGCCCUUGCGGGUCUUGCAGCCGCCCUCGACGAGGUCCGACUCGCCCUCGCCGCCGCCGUCGCCGCCGCCCACUGCAGCACUGCUAGAGGCGCCGCCGCCUCCGCCUCCGCCGCCGCCUCCUCCGCCGCCUCCUUCUUCGCCGCCGCGUCCGCCGCCUCCGCCCAAGGCAGCGGCUUCGGGGUCGACGAUCGUGCCGUCGGCAACGAAGCCGCGGUGCUGCUGUCGGACGACGCGCAGCUCGUCGUAAAACUCUGGCGGGUGGAUGUCCUGUCGGGGCCGAGUGGUGCCCUCAGGCCGUCGCUGCGGAAGUGCGUGCGUGUGCGUGCGUGUGUGUGCGUGUGUGCAUGUGUGCGUGCGUGCGUGCGUGCGUGUGUGUGUGUGUGUGUGCGUGUGUGUGUGUGUUGAUUGUGUGUGUGUGUGUGUGUGUGUGUGUGUGUGUGUGUGUGUGUGUGUGUGUGUCUGUCUGUCUGUCUGUCCGGUGUCCGCCUCGAGGCCGUGGCCCGAGAUGUGCGUGAUCUCGUGGAGCAUCACGGCGAGCAGCCGGCCAAACGGGAGGAAGACGUUGCAGCGCGCGUCUCCUGCCAGGCGGACCCACCAUGGGUGAAACGCGGUUGUGGAGAUUACCCCUGGCAAGGCUUUCUCAGGCACACUCCUGCGACGGCGCGCAGGCGGAUCGAGAUGUCCGCCGUGCCUUGCAGGUCGUGGUAGCACAUGCCGCCGGGGCCGCGGCCAUUGUGCUCGUGCAAGUGCUUGACGCGCCACCCGCGCCGCCGCAGGAUUGGGUCGACGUGCAGCUUCAGCCGCUGCAGCAGCCCCCGCGCCGCCGGGAUGGAGUCGCGGUCGACGCCACUGUGGCCGAGCGCGUUGAGCGGCACACACCACCUGCGCCAGCCGCAUGGGUCCUCAGAGCUGUUGCCGCCGGUCCCGGUGGACCCGCAACAUAAAAAGGAAACGCACCAGACAUUGCAAAACUCUGUCGUUCCAAACAGCCGGUGGAUGCCCUGCCGCUUGUCGUCGCCAACGCGUGGCUCGGCACCGUCGCGCGGUUCAAUCGCGUCGGUCAAGUUGGUGAAUCGAGCUCCCGCCAUGUCGGUUGCAGCGCAGGCGACGGCUGCCUUCAGGCUGUGCUUGCUGCGCAGCGAGCGCGCGAGAAGAGAUUUUUCUUUUUAUUCUUUUGUUUUUAUUCUUUAAGCCGCGUGCGCGAUUUCUUCUUGAUCACGCUCCGCCGUGCCCCGGGGGGGUGGCAUCACGUGCAGCUUGU
RNAcentral lists this ribosomal RNA (7171 nucleotides) under Emiliania huxleyi CCMP1516. RNAcentral's name for it is "28S_rRNA". The stretch from base 454 to 3710 matches the Rfam family "Eukaryotic large subunit ribosomal RNA". The record is from RNAcentral. Lineage: Eukaryota; Haptophyta; Isochrysidales; Noelaerhabdaceae.